CGGGAUUAUUGGGCGUAAGGGCUCGCAGGCGGUUUCUUAAGUCUGAUGUGAAAGCCCCCGGCUCAACCGGGGAGGGUCAUUGGAAACUGGGAAACUUGAGUGCAGAAGAGGAGAGUGGAAUUCCACGUGUAGCGGUGAAAUGCGUAGAGAUGUGGAGGAACACCAGUGGCGAAGGCGACUCUCUGGUCUGUAACUGACGCUGAGGAGCGAAAGCGUGGGGAGCGAACAGGAUUAGAUACCCUGGUAGUCCACGCCGUAAACGAUGAGUGCUAAGUGUUAGGGGGUUUCCGCCCCUUAGUGCUGCAGCUAACGCAUUAAGCACUCCGCCUGGGGAGUACGGUCGCAAGACUGAAACUCAAAGGAAUUGACGGGGGCCCGCACAAGCGGUGGAGCAUGUGGUUUAAUUCGAAGCAACGCGAAGAACCUUACCAGGUCUUGACAUCCUCUGACAACCCUAGAGAUAGGGCUUUCCCUUCGGGGACAGAGUGACAGGUGGUGCAUGGUUGUCGUCAGCUCGUGUCGUGAGAUGUUGGGUUAAGUCCCGCAACGAGCGCAACCCUUGAUCUUAGUUGCCAGCAUUCAGUUGGGCACUCUAAGGUGACUGCCGGUGACAAACCGGAGGAAGGUGGGGAUGACGUCAAAUCAUCAUGCCCCUUAUGACCUGGGCUACACACGUGCUACAAUGGACAGAACAAAGGGCUGC
This 703-nucleotide ribosomal RNA is filed under the name Bacillus subtilis. RNAcentral's name for it is "bacterial SSU rRNA". It matches the Rfam family "Bacterial small subunit ribosomal RNA", at positions 546 to 1250 of the family's 1533-position model. The record is from RNAcentral. Lineage: Bacteria; Bacillati; Bacillota; Bacilli; Caryophanales; Bacillaceae.